CUUUCCUUUCUGCUUUACCAGCUCAAUUUUCAGUAACAGAGAAAUUACUCUGUUGGAGUAAUUAGAGCUUCUUGCUAGUGAAAAUUAGAGAUUUCUUUACUUUCUACUGAUACCAUAUACUAAAUCUGGAUUCUUUCACAGAAUCUCGUCCUGCUGUAACAGAGGAAAGUGGUUUCGUCUCAUACUCUUGGGGUGAAGGAGCUUCCUAUGUGAUGGACUCUGAAUGCAGCAUACAGAUUCUCCUCUAAGAGUGGGCGUUCACCAAAGGAAGAUACUCAU
RNAcentral lists this long non-coding RNA (279 nucleotides) under Felis catus (domestic cat). Its description in RNAcentral is "lncRNA (ENSFCAG00000052632.1)". The record is from RNAcentral. Lineage: Eukaryota; Metazoa; Chordata; Mammalia; Carnivora; Felidae.